UAGGGAAGUCCGCACAGUGUCAAUGCAGAUACUACUUAGCCCGGAGCUUGGUGGCUGGGCUCAUUUUCUUCUUUCCAAUCGGAGGUCUCUGCCGCAAACAUGCUCCGCCACAUCUUAGGUCAGGCCAAGAAGCAUCCGAGCUUGAUCCCCCUCUUUGUAUUUAUUGGAGCUGGAGGUGGGGGAGCAGCCCCGUAUCUCUUGCGUUUGGCAUUGUUCAAUCCAGAUGUUUGUUGGGACAAAAAGAAUAACCCAGAGCCCUGGAACAAACUGGGUCCCAAUGAUCAAUAUAAGUUCUACUCUGUGAAUGUGGAUUAUAGCAAGCUGAAGAAAGAACGUCCAGAUUUCUAAGUGAAAUGUAAAGCUGCUUUAAAAUGAAGGUCUUCCAGAAGCCAUCCGCACAAUUUUCCACUGAACCAGGAAAUAUUUCUUCUCUAAAUGCAUGAAAUCAUGUUAAUGUAAUCUAUUGCUGAUUACACUGAUUAAUAAAUAACUGAAACUUGAA
Molecule: RNA transcript, 502 nt
Organism: Sapajus apella (tufted capuchin)
Lineage: Eukaryota; Metazoa; Chordata; Mammalia; Primates; Cebidae
Gene name: cytochrome c oxidase subunit NDUFA4 pseudogene
Exons: 1
Source: RefSeq, a predicted model, not a curated record